AAAUCAGUAGGUGAAGCUGGAAACUAUGGAAGAAGAAUUUGUAAUCCUCACUUGCCUUAUAAAAUGAACAUUGAGAAAAUUAACUCAAACAUUCUUAAGCACAAGGUAAUAAAAGAGUUGAACCUGCUUUUCAAAUAGUGCUUAUAUUAAAUGUUAAGCUCAUACUGACUUACAAAAAGAUUACUAAACAAAUAUAAAAAGUGAAUUGUCAAGACAUUAUUUAGUAAAACUGCUCUAGAGUGGGAUUAUUUUCUCUCUUGAUGUUUACUAAGUUUUGAAUUUUGUAGUAUAUUGAUUUUCUAACAUUUCCAAAAAGAGCUCAGGAGUUAUUGCCUUGUUGCUAGGUUUUAGGGAACAUUAGAGGCCCUACUUUCAUUCUUUCUUUUCCUACUCUGACUUGAGUCCUUUAGAAAAUUAAUUCAGUUUCUUAGCAACCCAGGUGGGUAAAACUUAAAUGCACUUUGAGAUCUUUUGUAAAGCAAAGGCUAAAUGUUUCCUUAUAAACUAUCUGUUUAGUCUCAUCUGGCUUUGCAGAAAAGAUCUUCUGAGACAUACUGCCAAAAACAAUUUUAUUCAAACUCGCAAUUUUAAAUGAUUUCAACCUGUGAAAACGCCCCUGUGUCCCAGACAGGUAGGAGAGGCAGAGAUACUGCAGAGAGGCUGCACUGUCUCAUGCAAGAUCACAACUCCAAAUGGAAAAUAAAUGCACUGCAACCACCACAAUCUGAAGUAAAAGUCAACAUUUGGGAAAUAAAGCCUCCUGAUUUUAGUUACAAACUGUAUACAUCUUUGAGGCUUGCAGAAAAGCCAUCAAGGACCAUCAUGGAAGAAGAAAGAAGAAAAAUCCCUGAUUUUCCAGGAAAAAUGGUUCACCUUCCCAGCCUAAGGAAUCCUCCCAAGAAGGCCAUAUCUCCUAAAUUUAUAACUACAUUUCCACGUCUGGAUUCACAUAAAGCAAAGUUAAUGUUUGUGGAGAGUGGAAAAUAUCCAAAUGGUGUAUACCUCAAUCCAAAACCACAUGACUUUCGACAGAAUGAACGUAAUUUACCAAAUUUUGUGACGACUUAUGAAAAGGAUCCUUUUGGAUUAAAAUUUAAGUCACAACACUUAAGUACGGUAAGUGGAUGUCCAUUGCUGAAAAAUGGUCAACAGAACAGUACAGAAAGAUUUAUCACCUACAAGCCUCGUGAAUGCACCUGGGAUUCAAAGCUAAUUUUACCAAAAGCCCCUUGGCCCGUUAAAUCUGCUUCAUACACAGCACCUUUGGUCCCUUUGCUCUAUAAAUGA
RNAcentral lists this long non-coding RNA (1287 nucleotides) under Ovis aries (sheep). Its description in RNAcentral is "lncRNA (ENSOARG00000025221.1)". The record is from RNAcentral. Lineage: Eukaryota; Metazoa; Chordata; Mammalia; Artiodactyla; Bovidae.